GUCUACUGAGGCGGGUCCCACCGGGCUUUUCCCAUCAGAGCCCGAACUCGCGGUUCAGGUUCCCUUUAGGACGCCCCUGGCCGAGAGGAGGGCUCCAACGGCUGGCUGCAGGGCUUAGAAUUUUAUUUUUGGUUUACAGCGCAGAAGAAGAGCAGUGAGGACAGGGCGCGGGUGGGGGGUGCAAGGCGGCGGCUCCAAGAAAAGUCAGCCCCUCGCGGACCGACAGAGUCUCCGCACCCCGCGGGUCGGUGGAGCCUCAGUGACGAGCGCAGCCCCGUGCUCGGGAAACACCGCCGCCGGGCAGGGGAGGGCCGGAAGGAACGCGAGCGCGUGGCCGCGGCUUCCGGCCGGGACACUAGCGCGGACCCUACGACCGGGGCGGGACUUCCGGCAAGGCGCGGAAGCGGCGGUAGUGGCAAGUGGAGAAGUUGCGUGGCUGACGGAUGCAGGCGGUGCGGCACGUCGUGUGUGCCCUGUCCGGCGGCGUGGACAGCGCCGUGGCCGCGCUGCUGCUGAGGCGAAGAGGUUACCAGGUGACAGGGGUGUUUAUGAAGAACUGGGACUCACUGGAUGAACAUGGAGUGUGUACUGCCGACAAAGACUGUGAAGAUGCUUACAGAGUUUGCCAGAUCUUAGACAUCCCUUUCCAUCAAGUGUCCUACAUAAAGGAGUAUUGGAACGACGUGUUCAGUGAUUUUUUGAAUGAGUAUGAAAAAGGAAGGACUCCCAAUCCUGACAUAGUUUGCAACAAGCACAUCAAAUUCAGUUGCUUUUUUCAUUACGCUGUGGAUAAUCUUGGGGCAGACGCCAUUGCCACAGGCCACUACGCAAGAACUUCACUGGAAGAUGAAGAAGUCUUUCAGCAGAAGCACAUUAAGAGGCCAGAAGGGCUUUUCCGAAAUCGGUUUGAAGUUAGAAAUGCGGUAAAACUCCUCCAGGCAGCUGACAGCUUUAAAGACCAGACCUUCUUUCUCAGCCAGGUUUCCCAGGAUGCCCUGAGGAGAACCAUCUUCCCUCUGGGGGGAUUAACAAAACAGUUUGUAAAGAAAAUCGCUGCUGAGAACAGACUUCAUCAUGUGCUUCAGAAGAAAGAGAGCAUGGGCAUGUGUUUCGUCGGGAAGAGGAAUUUUGAACAUUUCCUUCUUCAGUAUUUGCAGCCUCGACCUGGUCACUUUAUUUCCAUAGAAGACAAUAAGGUUCUGGGAACACAUAAAGGUUGGUUCCUCUAUACCUUGGGCCAGAGAGCAAACAUCGGUGGCCUGAGAGAGCCCUGGUACGUGGUAGAGAAGGAUGGCGUCAAGGGCAAUGUGUUUGUGGCCCCCCGGAAAGACCACCCAGCCCUGUACAGGGACCUGCUGAGGACCAGCCGUGUGCACUGGAUCACUGAGGAGCCGCCUGCAGGGCUGGUCCGGGACAAGAUGAUGGAGUGCCACUUCCGAUUCCGCCACCAGAUGGCACUAGUGCCCUGCGUGCUGACCCUCAAUCAAGAUGGCACCGUGUGGGUGACAGCUGUGCAGGCUGUGCGUGCCCUUGCCACAGGACAGGUGAGUGGGGGUGUGGGGGGUGAGCCCAGCUCUCAUUGUGCUCCAGGAGGACUGCACUGCUCUUCACCCUACCAGGGCACCUGGGUUACAGAGGAGGGGGCUGAGGCCCAGAAGUAGGGUGUGCUCGGGUCACACAGCUGGUGACGGCAGAGUGCGACCAGACGUGCCCUGGGGGCUCCUCCCGCAGUGACAACUGUGAGAGGAUUUCCACUGAUGUCACCAACCAGCCAGUUCCUGCUCGGGCCCUGAGAGGCUCGGCUGCUGCCCGGGCCCUAGAAGCAAGGACAGAAAAUGGAAGGGGCAUGAGGACUGCGCUCAAAGAGGCAGCGGGUUGGGGCCCCUGUGGGUUGAGUGUAUAGGAGCUCUGAUGGGCGCCUGGCAUAUGCAGGCCUGAGGGUUGGGGCCCCUGUGGGCUGAGUGUGUAGGGGUUUUGAGGAUGGGCGCCUGGCGUAUGCAGGCCUGAGGGUUGGGGCCCCUGUGGGCUGAGUGUGUAGGGGUUCUGAGGAUGGGCGCCUGGCGUAUGCAGGCCUGAGGGUUGGGGCCCCUGUGGGCUGAGUGUGUAGGGGUUCUGAGGAUGGGCGCCUGGCGUAUGCAGGCCUGAGGGCUCUCCAGGGGCAGGUAGCGGGAGAGAACCUGGGGUGAGGGAGCGGAAGCAUCCUCUGGCUGCCACCAUGCUCCCUCUUGUCACAGCUCCACAUUCCCAAGGGCUUCAGAGACCUGCCAGUUCCUGGAGUGGCCCCUGUGACUGUCCCACUCGGGAGAGUUUGCUGUGUUCUACAAAGGGGACGAGUGCCUGGGCAGCGGGAAGAUCGUGCGGCUGGGGCCGUCCGCCUACACACUCCGGAAGAGCCAGCACAGAGGUGGGGUGGCCAUCGAGAACCCCAGUGA
Rhinopithecus roxellana (golden snub-nosed monkey) is the source of this 2432-nucleotide RNA transcript. It is a transcript of the gene named tRNA 5-methylaminomethyl-2-thiouridylate methyltransferase, with no coding region annotated. NCBI's taxonomy places the organism in Eukaryota, Metazoa, Chordata, Mammalia, Primates, Cercopithecidae. The record is from RefSeq and is a predicted model, not a curated record. The transcript has 11 exons.